Molecule: ribosomal RNA, 253 nt
Filed under: uncultured bacterium
Lineage: Bacteria
Description: partial 16S ribosomal RNA
Rfam family: Bacterial small subunit ribosomal RNA
Source: RNAcentral
UCCGUAGGGCGCAAGCGUUAUCCGGAAUUAUUGGGCGUAAAGAGCUCGUAGGUGGUUUGUCGCGUUGUUCGUGAAAACUCACAGCUUAACUGUGGGCGUGCGGGCGAUACGGGCAGACUGGAGUACUGCAGGGGAGACUGGAAUUCCUGGUGUAGCGGUGGAAUGCGCAGAUAUCAGGAGGAGCACCGGUGGCGAAGGCGGGUCUCUGGGCAGUAACUGACGCUGAGGAGCGAAAGCGUGGGGAGCGAACAGG